UGGGGAAUUUUGACAAUGGGCGAAAGCCUGAUCCAGCAAUGCCGCGUGUGUGAAGAAGGCCUUGCGGGUUGUAAAGCACUUUUUGUCCGGAAAGAAAUCCUUGGCUCUAAGUACAGUCGGGGGAUGACGGUACCGGAAGAAUAAGCACCGGCUAACUACGUGCCAGCAGCCGCGGUAAUACGUAGGGUGCAAGCGUUAAUCGGAAUUACUGGGCGUAAAGCGUGCGCAGGCGGUUUGCUAAGACCGAUGUGAAAUCCCCGGGUCUCAACCUGGGAACUGCAUUGGUGACUGGCAGGCUAGAGUAUGGCAGAGGGGGGUAGAAUUCCGACGUGUAGCAGUGAAAUGCAGUAGAGAUGUGGAGGAAUACCGAUGGCGAAGGCAGCCCCCUGGGCCAAAUACUGACGCUCAUGCACGAAAGCGUGGGGAGCAAACAGGAUUAGAUACCCU
Molecule: ribosomal RNA, 447 nt
Filed under: uncultured bacterium
Lineage: Bacteria
Description: partial 16S ribosomal RNA
Rfam family: Bacterial small subunit ribosomal RNA
Source: RNAcentral